CCUACGGGAGGCAGCAGUGGGGAAUAUUGCACAAUGGGGGAAACCCUGAUGCAGCGACGCCGCGUGAGUGAAGAAGUAUUUCGGUAUGUAAAGCUCUAUCAGCAGGGAAGAAAAUGACGGUACCUGAUUAAGAAGCCCCGGCUAAAUACGUGCCAGCAGCCGCGGUAAUACGUAGGGGGCAAGCGUUAUCCGGAUUUACUGGGUGUAAAGGGAGGGUAGACGGCAGCACAAGUCUGGAGUGAAAUGUCGGGGCUUAACCCCGGAACUGCUUUGGAAACUGUGCAGCUAGAGUGCAGGAGAGGUAAGUGGAAUGCCUAGUGUAGCGGUGAAAUGCGUAGAUAUUAGGAGGAACACCAGUGGCGAAGGCGGCUUACUGGACUGUAACUGACGUUGAGGCUCGAAAGCGUGGGGAGCGAACAGGAUUAGAUACCCCAGUAGUC
This 440-nucleotide ribosomal RNA is filed under the name uncultured bacterium. Its description in RNAcentral is "partial 16S ribosomal RNA". It matches the Rfam family "Bacterial small subunit ribosomal RNA", at positions 338 to 795 of the family's 1533-position model. The record is from RNAcentral.